CAGGCCUAACACAUGCAAGUCGAGCGAGAAAGGGGAAACCCCGGUAAAGCGGCGCACGGGUGAGUAACACGUAGGUAAUUUACCCCUUGGUGGUGGAUAACCUUCCGAAAGGACCGCUAAUACCGCAUAAGACCACGACCUCGAGAGGGGAUGCGGUCAAAGCUGGCCUCUAUACAUAAGCUAGCACUUGAAGAUGAGCCCGCGGCGCAUCAGGUAGUUGGUGAGGUAACGGCUCACCAAGCCAAAGGCGCGUAGCUGGUCUGAGAGGAUGAUCAGCCACACUGGAACUGAGACACGGUCCAGACUCCUACGGGAGGCAGCAGUGGGGAAUCUUGCGCAAUGGGCGAAAGCCUGACGCAGCGACGCCGCGUGAGUGAUGAAGGCCUUCGGGUUGUAAAGCUCUGUGGGGAGAGACGAAUAAGUGCGGGCUAAUACUCCGCAUGAUGACGGUAUCUCCUUAGCAAGCACCGGCUAACUCUGUGCCAGCAGCCGCGGUAAU
RNAcentral lists this ribosomal RNA (499 nucleotides) under uncultured bacterium. RNAcentral describes it as "bacterial SSU rRNA". It matches the Rfam family "Bacterial small subunit ribosomal RNA", at positions 43 to 524 of the family's 1533-position model. The record is from RNAcentral.